This 698-nucleotide long non-coding RNA is filed under the name Panax ginseng (ginseng). RNAcentral's name for it is "long non-coding RNA (PGIN_LNC012046)". The record is from RNAcentral. Lineage: Eukaryota; Viridiplantae; Streptophyta; Magnoliopsida; Apiales; Araliaceae.
GAGAAUAAGAAGAUUAUUGAAGUUGAGGCUACCGACAUAUCUGAAUUCUCACUCUCAAUGAUUACAUUUCCCAACAAUCAUUCAAGUUUAGAAAGAUAAUAAUGAUAUUUAUACUCAAACCGUGAGGAUUUGCCAAGAACAAUUCAGGUUGAUACAACCCAAAUGAAUUAUGAAAAAUCUUAUACCAAGCAGAAAAUUUGUUUUUCCAAUAAUUAAUAUCCUGCUUUUCAUCCCAAACGGGAACGGCAAUGUUUUAUAUAGGAUAGGUGCCAAUUUCAUAGGAAGCCCACAUGAUAGGCAAGAUAAUGUUUUCCAGUUUCCCUAGACAUGUGGUGCAUCAAAGUGUACAGAUUGGGAAUAUAUAGAGAGAGACAUAUACUUGGAUAAAAUUUUGACAGUUUAAAAGCAAAUUUCCAAGCAUUAUGAAUUUGGCUGAUAAAACCUUGCAACCAAGUGCUAAGCAUUCUAUGACCAGUGCCGCCAAAAGUUGCCAGACCUGUUGCUGGAAUCCGAACCACCAGAAGCAUGCUGAGACGAACCCCAACCUGAGUCCCUGUCAAAUGAGAUAACUGGGAAACGAGAUGGAUGCUCCCUUUCCCAUUGCAAAGGAUUUUCCGCAUCAUGUGGGUUUUGGCCUGAGGAGCCCGAAGGAGGAAAGAUGAAGAAACCUCCGUGACGAUCAGACUGAGGAAGNNNNN